UGUAGAAGUAGUAACUCUCCAAGUUAUAUUUUACUUAUAAAAAAGACAUCAGACCACAAUAAAGCACGGUUAAAUUAGUUAAAAGACUAUCUCCAAUCAAUAUAUUACUCUUAUAUUAGAAAAGGCAUGUUCAACAUGUCUUGUUAAUGUCAAUUAAAUUGAUAUCAAGGGCAAUUCAGACUUUUGAGUCAAAUAUUUAUGCUAUGUGAUCAAGGGCAAUUCAUACUUUUGAGUCAAAUAUUUAUGCUAUGUGUCUCUUAAGUUGAAGAGAAAAAGACACGUAUCAAAAUGUGUGCAGAGCACUUGUUAUCAUUCUUUCUACAAUCAAUUCAUGCUCUCUCUCUCUCCACCGCGUGUGACUUUAUGUUGUGUAAUUGGUGGGGUUUCGUGCCAUUUCUCUCUCGCUUAACUAGUGUCCCGCCGGGAGAGAAGGAAGUGCAAGAGUAGAAGAAAGCUAUUUAUCUGCUUCUAAGAAACAUUUUUUUUAAUUUCUUCUUCUUCUUAUGCUUUCUGCUCCCACAAUCUCACUUUUUCUUCUCUGUGCAGUGUUCUUUCGACAGUUUGUGAUUUUCUCAACUUUAAUCAACUUUUCAUCAUCUAUGAGUAAUGGCAUUUUCAACGUCGAUGGCGAUAUAUGGAAGUAUCAAUGACAAUUUGCUAGCCACAAAUUCAAUACUAAAUCACUACAAAAAUUCGUUGAAUCUGUAGUUGAUGUCGAGGUAUCUGAACGUUUAGUUCCCAUACUCGCGAACGCUGCUGCUGAGAAAAAUGUUGUCGAUCUACAAGACGUGUUGCAAAGGUUUGCAUUUGAUAACAUUUGUAAAAUUGCAUUUGGAUAUGAUCCAAAGCAUUUGUUACCUAACCUGCCUGAAGCAGAAUUCGCGGUAGCAUUUGAAGAUUGUGUUAGAUUGAGAAGUGAGAGAUUUGCUGUCCCUUUUCCGUUGAUUUGGAAAAUUAAACGCGCAUUUGGUAUUGGUUCUUAGAAAAAAUUAGGAAUUGCAGUUGGAGAAGUACGUGAAUUCGCGAAGAGAAUAGUGAGGGAGAAGUUGAAUGAGAGAUCGUCGUUGGAUUCAGCAGGUACAUUUUCUAGGUAAUAACACUGAAGGUACAUUUCUAGGUACUAACACUCAAGAAAUUAGGAAUUGCAGUUGGAGAAGCUGAGGCUUUUUUCAUGGUAACAUGUUCAUCUGGGUUUUCUUAGUUUUCGGAGAUACUAUCAAUAGAUGAUUUUGGAUGGGGUAACGACAUGCAUGUGCUUUUUUUUUAAUUUACUUUGAUUAUUUUUUUCUUUUGUUUAUAAGUUAUUCCAACAAAUGCAAAAUUAUGCACCCUAGAUGUUUGAUUAUUUGCCUAAGAAAACUGAUUAAUAUUUUUUUAUAUAUAAUUUUUAAAUCUGUGUUGGUGAUUUGCACUUGUUUCUUAUUCUUCCUCGCCGUCUUUAUCUCUUUGUUUUAGUUGUUCACCAAUUUUUUUUUGUGUUUCUCCAAUUUCUUGAUUCUUCUUUCACAGGUUUAACAACAAUUUAAGUUUACUCAUUGUGAUUCAUAUAUUAUUUCUUUUUAAUUUCACUGUAAGUGCUAGCAAUUUAGCAGAUCCUUUUGAGCCUAUAAAUUUUAUAAUUGUGGAACACAUACUGUUUUCCUGCAAUUGGUUUCGGGUAUGUUCUUUUGCAUUAAAAGUUAUAGCAAGGUGAUUUUAUUUCAUUUAGCGGAUGAGUAUGUUUGGAGAUUUCUUUAAACUUUAUACUUGAUCUAUGUCUUUAAUUUAUUUAUUUUUGGUGCCACCGAUCAAAUUAGUUGUCUUCCAUAGACAUUUUUAACUCUUCUUUUUCAUUAUCAUCUUUCAUUUGCUCUGUCUCUUUUUGAGUUGGUAACUGUUUGGGGUCGAAGUGGUUUCUAUUGUUUAAUUUUUUUCCUUUACUUGAAUGCUUUUAACUAGCUAGAUUCUAUAUGCAUUAAUUUCAACUUUUUGCCUCAUUCUCAUUGCUAGAUGUACAUCAAGAAAGGAAAAAAAGAUCUUUAGAAAUUUCUCUAGCAGUGUGAGAACAUUAGCCGACGCUUCCUCUUAAAAGACACUAUUGGAUUAAUUAUUGAGUUUUUGGGCAUAAUAUUUUUUCCCUUUAUCUCAAUUUGAGUUGUAAGUUAUAUCAGGUGUGUGCCUUAUUAUGACUUUUUCUUUCUUUUUUGUUUAAUUAAGGUAUGCAAUUACUGCUAAUAGAGUUUGAUGAACGUUUUAGGUGUUUGAUAAUAUGCCUAAAAUAGUUGAUAUUUUUUUUUAUUAAUUUUAACUUUUCUCUUUUGAUAGAUGUUUUACAACUUGUAGCAGAUUAUUUCACUUCACUGAAUUUGAAAAAAAUUCUAGCUUUGUUGAAGGAAAAUAUGGCUGUCAAUCUACCAUAGAUAUAGUGAUGCAGAGAAUGAAGAUUAGAAACACCGUAUAAAUACAACAAAGAGAGACCUUUUUAGCAGAUGAUCAUGCCUUCAUCUCCAGCAUGAUGAGUUGCGACAUAAAAUUUUUAUCAGGCUUGAUAAUUAUUUAAGCUUUCAUUCACCACAUUUUCUUCAAUCUUCUUCACUCUGAUCAAUCAGUAGAUGAUUUGAAAUGGAAUAAAUGUGAAUCAGGUGUUUCAACAUCUA
This is a non-coding RNA of Solanum lycopersicum (tomato), 2636 nucleotides long. NCBI's taxonomy places the organism in Eukaryota, Viridiplantae, Streptophyta, Magnoliopsida, Solanales, Solanaceae. The record is from RefSeq and is a predicted model, not a curated record.